Molecule: ribosomal RNA, 256 nt
Filed under: uncultured archaeon
Lineage: Archaea
Description: partial 16S ribosomal RNA
Rfam family: Bacterial small subunit ribosomal RNA
Source: RNAcentral
UAAGACGAACCGUGCAAACGUUAUUCGGAAUCACUGGGCAUAAAGGGCGCGUAGGCGGCUCCAAAAGUCAGGGGUGAAAUCCGGCAGCUUAACUGUCGCAGUGCCUUUGAUACUGUGGAGCUAGAGGGAGGUAGGGGUCUGUGGAACUUCCGGUGGAGCGGUGAAAUGCGUUGAUAUCGGAAGGAACGCCGGUGGCGAAAGCGACGGACUGGAUCUCUUCUGACGCUGAGGCGCGAAAGCCAGGGGAGCAAACGGG